This is a long non-coding RNA of Rhinichthys klamathensis goyatoka, 395 nucleotides long. RefSeq lists it as uncharacterized. The record is from RefSeq and is a predicted model, not a curated record. NCBI's taxonomy places the organism in Eukaryota, Metazoa, Chordata, Actinopteri, Cypriniformes, Leuciscidae. The transcript has 3 exons.
ACUAAAUUACCAUUUUAUUUUGUUUAGACAAUGUAUCACAUUGUGAUUUUUGAAAAAACGAAUGAAGUAGAAGUGGUGCCUUCCAACUGGGUCAAAGAAAAUGAAUGUAUGUGGCCACCAAAUAAAGUGGAUGUUGUAAAAGCCACAAAAAAUAAGGAGCAACCUGGGGAAGGAUGGACUCCACACAGGGUCAGAAUUAUAUUUACAUCGAAGAGUUACAGUGAGGCAAGAUUAAAACUACCUGAAGCUGUCGAACACACAGACCUUGCAACAGAUGGGGAGGAUUCCCCAAUUAAACCCAAACGAAGAAGAAUGCCAAAGAACCUACUUUUUCCUGGAGAAGAUGAGGAUGAAGAAAUCAGUGUUGAUCAGUCAAAAGAUAAUGGAAAGAAAAG